AGAGGAACCACAGAUUCAGACAUUUGGUGUAUGUGCUUGGCUGAGGAACCAAUGGGGCCGAAAUGAUCUCAGCCUAUUCUGGAACUUUAAAUGGGGUGAUUGACCCAGACUAUCAAGAUUAAAUCAGUCUACUACUCCACAAUGGAGGUAAGGAAGAAUAUGCGUGGAAUACAGGAGAUCUCAUAGGCUGUCUCUUGGUAUUACCAUGCCUCCUGAUUAAGUUCAAUGGGAAACUACAACAGCCCAAUCCAGGCAGGACUACAAAUGGCCCAGACCCUUCAGGAAUGAAGGUUUGGGUCACUGCAGCAGGUAAAACUCCAUGACCUGCUGAGGU
RNAcentral lists this long non-coding RNA (334 nucleotides) under Homo sapiens (human). RNAcentral describes it as "HSALNT0408204". The record is from RNAcentral. Lineage: Eukaryota; Metazoa; Chordata; Mammalia; Primates; Hominidae.